UUUAACUGAGCGUUCAGUUACUUGACGUAGACCCGAAACCGGGCGACCUACCCAUGAGCAGGAUGAAGCGAAAGUAAAAUUUCGUGGAGGUCCGAACCCACGAGCGUUGAAAAGCUCGGGGAUGACUUGUGGGUAGCGGUGAAAUUCCAAUCGAGCCCGGAGAUAGCUGGUUCUCCCCGAAAUAGCUUUAGGGCUAGCCUCAAGGUGAGAGAUACGGAGGUAGAGCACUGAAUGUCCUAGGGGGUAUUGCACCUACCGAAGACUAUCAAACUCCGAAUGCCGUCAUCUUAUACUUGGGAGUCAGACUGUGGGUGAUAAGAUUCAUAGUCGAAAGGGCAACAGCCCAGAUCGUCAGCUAAGGUCCCUAAAUGUAAGUUAAGUGGUAAAGGAUGUGGGAUUGCACAGACAACCAGGAUGUUGGCUUAGAAGCAGCCACUCAUUCAAAGAGUGCGUAAUAGCUCACUGGUCGAGUGAUCCUGCGCCGAAGAUUUCCGGGGCUAAAACUUACUACCGAAGCUACGGCAUCAGUAAUGAUGGGUAGGGGAGCUUCCCAUACGGGUUGAAGCAUGACCGUAAGGACAUGUGGACAGUAUGGGAGUGAGAAUGUUGGCAUGAGUAGCGAGAUGUGGGUGAGAAUCCCACAGGCCGUAAACCCAAGGUUUCCAGGGGAAGGUUCGUCCGCCCUGGGUUAGUCGGGACCUAAGCUGAGGCCGAAAGGCGUAGGUGAUGGACAACAGGUUGAUAUUCCUGUACUACCGAUAACCGUUUGAGAGAUGGGAUGACACAGUAGGAUAAGCUAAGCACACUGUUGGUUAUGUGUGCCCAAGCAUUGAGGCAGUCAAAGUAGGUAAAUCCGCUUUGAUAAUGCUGGGAUGUGAUGGGGAGCGAAAUUUAGUAGCGAAGUAGCUGAUUUCACACUGUCAAGAAAAGUCUCUAUCGAGGUUAAAGGUACCCGUACCGCAAACCGACACAGGUGGGUGAGGAGAGUAUCCUAAGGCCAGCGAGAGAACUGUUGUUAAGGAACUCGGCAAAAUGACCCCGUAACUUAGGGAUAAGGGGUGCCACCAUCAGGUGGCCGCAGAGAAUAGGCCCAAGCGACUGUUUACCAAAAACAUAGGU
RNAcentral lists this ribosomal RNA (1119 nucleotides) under Clostridioides difficile. RNAcentral describes it as "partial 23S ribosomal RNA". It matches the Rfam family "Bacterial large subunit ribosomal RNA", at positions 683 to 1820 of the family's 2925-position model. Lineage: Bacteria; Bacillati; Bacillota; Clostridia; Peptostreptococcales; Peptostreptococcaceae. The record is from RNAcentral.